Molecule: long non-coding RNA, 1389 nt
Filed under: Equus caballus (horse)
Lineage: Eukaryota; Metazoa; Chordata; Mammalia; Perissodactyla; Equidae
Description: lncRNA (ENSECAG00000059936.1)
Source: RNAcentral
CCAGGACGGAGCCGGCCAGAUGCGGGAGGGCAGGAUUUGGAGGCCAGGACCAAGGGCCAGGGAGGCGGGUUAGGAGGAGGAGAGGGAGCGGGCUGCCCUUUGGGUCUGUCCCCCAAAGGCCUUGUGGCUCAGCACAGGGCGGUGCAGAGCGGGGUGUACAUAGGCACAGGGGCACAGCCCUGCAGCUCCCGCUUCUGGGAGGCCAAGUACCUCCUGAUGGCCCAGCGAAGCCUGCAGAGAGGAGGCCGACGUCCACGCGGGCUUUGAAGGAUGGGAAAAGAGGCCUGGCGCAAGGGGGCAGCUGGGGAACAAAGCCUGCGGCCGGAGUGUGAGGGCGCAGGCCACAGGGGGCCGCGGGAGGUCUGGGAACCGCCGCGACGGCUCCUCCCGAGGCCCCAGGGCGACCCCCCCUGGUGCUUCAGGGUCCCGGAGGCCGCCCGCCCCCACCGCCAGCCGCACACUCCGCCCUGUGGCAGGGCACCCCGCGCCCCCACCCGCACUGCCCUGGCUCGGGCGGGCGCAUUCUUCUGCUUGGCUGUACGUCGGCCUGUCCCUCCGCGCGUCCGUCUGUCGGUCUUUCUUCUCUCGCCCCCUCCGAAGUCGCGGCCCCAUUCAUUCCCGAGGCCUCUGCCCUUUCCUCCGCGCGGCCGGGCUCGGCGAGCAGCUGCUAUGCUAAUGAGGGCGGGGGGGCGGGCGCUGGCCGGGGGGCGGCGAGGGAACCCGCGUGCGGAGGCUGGGGGCUCGGCAGGUCACGGCCCGGGACCCGCGGCUCUUUCCGGAGGCCCCCACCCGCGCGCCCACCCGACGCCGCUGCGCGUGGGGCUCCGGUGCGCCCCGCGGGGGUGGGGGUCUGAGCCGAGACGGACGGUCGGACGCCCCGCCCGCCCCGGGCCUGAGUGGUUGGACGCCGGAGGAGAGUACGGGUGGGAUCCGCCAAGAGGACGGACCCCGGCGCGCGGCGAUACCGGGACGGGGCGGGGGUGGGCCCGAGCGGGAGACACGAACCCCAGCCGCCCACCCGGCGUCCGAGGGGCGGCGAGCCUGGCCACCGGACCUAGGACGCCCCGUGCCCAGGCCCCCACCUCGCCCCCGCCUCGGGCGGCAAUCCCCUAGAGGGCCGGGCGGGCGCGUCCGCAGUGGGUGGGGGGCUUUCCGGUGCCGUGUCUGCUCGGGCGCGUGCGCGGGCCGAGCGCGGAGCUCGGGCUCUGCUGCCCUCCUGCGGCCGCGGCGGGCACUGCGCCCGGGGGGCCUGGGGACCGAGGCGCCACGACCCCCGCGGGCCCCUCGCCACACCCGGGCGCCGCCGCCCCGCCUGCUGCGGACGCCGGGCCACGUCGUCGGACCAGCGCCCCGCACCCGCACUGGGUCUGGAGCGCGCCCUCGUCUCGG